Molecule: long non-coding RNA, 930 nt
Organism: Mustela lutreola (European mink)
Lineage: Eukaryota; Metazoa; Chordata; Mammalia; Carnivora; Mustelidae
Exons: 5
Source: RefSeq, a predicted model, not a curated record
GUUGUUUCUAAGAAGCCGGUUCUGUCCGCAGAGGGGCAGACAGAGCACGGCACUGAACACCAGUGGCAGGUGAACCAGCAGCAGUUCUCAAAGGGGCCUUAGGACGAGGAGGUGGUGGCCCAGGUGGGGAGAAAAGACCGGAGAGGCCUUUGGAGGGGUGAAACGAAUUGAAUUCAGUGACGGCUGUAGCGGUCUGAACAGGAAGAUAAAUGGGACGGCUACACCAGUGACCUGCAGAACAGGUUGCAGGGAAAGGCCCUUACAAACCCAAGUAUGACCCAAAGAGCAGUGGUUCUGACACCGUCCAGAAGCUGUCAGAAAGGCAGACUCCCAGGCCUUGCCUCUGGCCUCUGGACUCCGGAUCUGCAUUUUAGCAGGAUCUGCAGUUUGACUCACAGGGUAGUCCCAGCUCCUGGUGCUUAAAGCUGUCUCCUUAUGGAAGAAAAACAGGGCCACAGGUGGCACUGCUGUCACACCUUUUCCUCUCACGCGCUCUUACGGAGGAUGCACGCUCUUACGGAGGAUGCACGAGACUGGUAUCUCUACAGAGACCAACGGUUCCAGUGGAAGAACUCAACACGAAGCAUUAUUUCCGUGUUUAAUGUAAUCUCCCCAAGUUCAUCCAAUCCAUUGUAAAACUCCAGGAAAACCAAGAAAGAUCAUGAAGAACUUAGAUGCUCGGGGCUGAAUUAGGCAGGAGCCCAGACACCAUGCAGCACUUGCCAAUACCGGGACUCCGAUUAUUCAUCUUUCUUACAAAAUAUUGCAAUUCUCUGUUCACAACGCUGCCUUUGCCACCAGAGGGUAAAUUCCUUCAAGGGGAGGGACCAAGGCCAGGAAGACAAGUUCUAAUAGAUCUCUGUACCCAGCACUCCGCACACUCUGCAACAAGUGGAUGUUGGAUAUCGGUUUGUUGAAUUAAUAAAUAAA